RNAcentral lists this ribosomal RNA (253 nucleotides) under uncultured bacterium. RNAcentral describes it as "partial 16S ribosomal RNA". It matches the Rfam family "Bacterial small subunit ribosomal RNA", at positions 524 to 776 of the family's 1533-position model. The record is from RNAcentral.
UACGUAGGGUGCGAGCGUUAAUCGGAAUUACUGGGCGUAAAGCGCGCGCAGGCGGUUCUGCAAGUCAGGUGUGAAAUCCCCGGGCUCAACCUGGGAAUGGCAUUUGGGACUGCAAGGCUGGAGUGCGGCAGAGGAGACUGGAAUUCCUGGUGUAGCAGUGAAAUGCGUAGAUAUCAGGAGGAAUACCGAUGGCGAAGGCAGGUCUCUGGGCUGACACUGACGCUCAUGCACGAAAGCGUGGGGAGCAAACAGG